GCCGACAACUUUUCCCCAAUAAUUCAUCCAAACAAAGCAGCCGGCGGAACAGAAAUAACAGAAAUACAAAACAAGCAAGAAAAGUGGGAAAACGUCAAUAAUGCCUUGGCGAAAAGCCACAGACAGGCAACAUUUUUAGCUGCGGCCCCCUUAUGCCCCAUGCCCCCACGAAAAAUGGGCUCGGGGUAGGCGCUUGUCUAGCUGAUUGACAAGAAACGAAUCAAAAUUGAAAUAUAAAUGAAGCAGCAUUCGACGCCCGUUCGAAAUCCCGUCCGAAAGGGAAAAUCCGGCAAGGAAGUGUCGAGGAGAGGGGGAUUUUCCAAAGCGAGCCAAAAAUUCGCUGCGCUGGAAAGUAUGCAAUAUAAAUUGUAGUCCAUCACAAAAAAGGGAGGGAAACCGAAACGAGAAAGGACGAAGCAAACGGAUGGGCUUGAUGGAAUAAAUAAAACUAAAAAUUGAAAA
This is a long non-coding RNA of Drosophila ananassae, 462 nucleotides long. RefSeq lists it as uncharacterized. The record is from RefSeq and is a predicted model, not a curated record. Lineage: Eukaryota; Metazoa; Arthropoda; Insecta; Diptera; Drosophilidae. The transcript has 2 exons.